This 354-nucleotide unclassified non-coding RNA is filed under the name Hevea brasiliensis (rubber tree). The record is from RNAcentral. Lineage: Eukaryota; Viridiplantae; Streptophyta; Magnoliopsida; Malpighiales; Euphorbiaceae.
UUUCCCUUUCUUCACCAACACAAACGUUGGCAUAGCCUGAACUCCAAAUUCCUGGGCCACAUCAGGCAAUUCAUCCACAUCGAUCUUGGCAAACUGGACAUCAGUGAACUUGGCAGCCAAGGCUUUAACUUGUGGUUCAAUUAACUUACAAGGUCCACACCACGAUGCAGCAAAAUCUACGACCAUCAGCUGGGAUAACUCUUUCAUGGAAUUGAAAUGGAGCUGCCAUCGCUCAGAGGAAUGGAAAGUUGUGACUGCCGAAUGAUCCGCCGAUGAGGAAUCUUCGCCGGCGGCUGCAGCGUCUCCAUUAAGAGCAGAGAAUAAACCUCCCAUUGCUCUCUCUCUCUCUCUCUU